This 377-nucleotide ribosomal RNA is filed under the name uncultured eukaryote. RNAcentral describes it as "partial 18S ribosomal RNA". It matches the Rfam family "Eukaryotic small subunit ribosomal RNA", at positions 592 to 976 of the family's 1831-position model. The record is from RNAcentral.
CAAUAGCGUAUAUUAAAGUUGUUGCAGUUAAAAAGCUCGUAGUUGGAUUUCGGGGCAGCCUGGCUGGUCCGCCGCAAGGCGAGUACUGGUCAGCCGCCCUUCCUCUCGAAAGCCCCGACUGCUCUUUAUUGCAGUGGUCGGGUAGUUCGGGACGUUUACUUUGAAAAAAUUAGAGUGUUCAAGGCAGGCCUACGCCUGAAUACAUUAGCAUGGAAUAAUGGAAGAGGACCUCGGUCCUAUUUUGUUGGUUUCCAGGACCGAAGUAAUGAUUAAGAGGGACAGUUGGGGGCAUUCGUAUUUAAUUGUCAGAGGUGAAACUCUCGGAUUUAUGAAAGACGAACAACUGCGAAAGCAUUUGCCGAGGAUGUUUUCAUUAA